RNAcentral lists this ribosomal RNA (497 nucleotides) under uncultured bacterium. Its description in RNAcentral is "partial 16S ribosomal RNA". It matches the Rfam family "Bacterial small subunit ribosomal RNA", at positions 28 to 507 of the family's 1533-position model. The record is from RNAcentral.
GAUGAACGCUGGCGGCGUGCCUAAUACAUGCAAGUCGAGCGAACAGAUAAGGAGCUUGCUCCUUUGACGUUAGCGGCGGACGGGUGAGUAACACGUGGGUAACCUACCUAUAAGACUGGGAUAACUUCGGGAAACCGGAGCCAAUACCGGAUAAUAUUUCGAACCGCAUGGUUCGAUAGUGGAAGAUGGUUUUGCUAUCACUUAUAGAUGGACCCGCGCCGUAUUAGCUAGUUGGUAAGGUAACGGCUUACCAAGGCGACGAUACGUAGCCGACCUGAGAGGGUGAUCGGCCACACUGGAACGGAGACACGGUCCAGACUCCUACGGGAGGCAGCAGUAGGGAAUCUUCCGCAAUGGGCGAAAGCCUGACGGAGCAACGCCGCGUGAGUGAUGAAGGUCUUCGGAUCGUAAAACUCUGUUAUUAGGGAAGAACAUACGUGUAAGUAACUGUGCACGUCUUGACGGUACCUAAUCAGAAAGCCACGGCUAACUACGUG